Molecule: long non-coding RNA, 418 nt
Organism: Schistocerca piceifrons (Central American locust)
Lineage: Eukaryota; Metazoa; Arthropoda; Insecta; Orthoptera; Acrididae
Exons: 2
Source: RefSeq, a predicted model, not a curated record
CACAUGCAACAGCAUUGCAAAUGCAGUAUGUCACUAGCUGAGGCGACAAUUUUGUUGCGUCUGUGAAUCUGGCGGAAGGGCUACUGUGGAAAUGUGGUACAUUUAUAUCGACCGUAAUGACUGUGUCAAGAGGGCUCUCAACAAUAGGUUUUAUAUGUUACAUGUGUGGAACGCUGUGCAGCCAAAGAAAUAUCGUUAAAUAACAGGUUUAUUAAAGUCUUCCUUUCUGUAAGAGAAACAAUGAAACCAAUGUAAAAUGUUGCAACUGUGAUACAUGAAUUACUUUGUAACAGAAAAUGAGGAUAAAACUAGUAUAUCAAUCAUCUCUCAUUGUAAUGGUAGUCAUACAUGCAAGUGGAUUUUAGCACUGUGAAGAUGAUCAUCAUUUGAAAUAAAACUAUUUUUUACUUGCUUAACA